Molecule: long non-coding RNA, 2094 nt
Organism: Haplochromis burtoni (Burton's mouthbrooder)
Lineage: Eukaryota; Metazoa; Chordata; Actinopteri; Cichliformes; Cichlidae
Exons: 3
Source: RefSeq, a predicted model, not a curated record
CGCCACCUAACAUCAUUCUCCUUUUCCUUUUUUUUUCUUUUCCUUUUUCGCCUACAGCUCCCGGGGCUGUUUCAGCAUUAGAAAUUAUUGAUGUCUUUACUGCCUAGAUGAGUGUUUGACAAAAACUGAGGGUAGUUAUGGUUCCACUGAAACUAUUAUAUUAGCAAGACAGGAUUGUGGCUUUUUGAGACACGGACUAAGUAUGCGUGUACACGUUUUUUUUGUUUACCGUAAGAUGUUUUUAACUUCAUCUGCAGAAUGCCGGAUACCCUCCAACUCUAUGUCAGCCAUUUUCACUGCUUUCAGCAUGACUCAGAAGGCCUUCCCGGGGGCUGCUGUCCGACUGAUGGGGGGAGUAGCAGGAAAGAUUUUGUGGAAAAGCGGAAAGAGGUAAAAUGAGCUGCUGACUGUCUGCUCGUCACUAACAUCACUGCAUCAACUAGAGACUCAGAGGCUCUGUAUACCUAAAGAUUCGCCAUUAUUAGCGCUGUAAAUACACUGCGGAAAAGAUGAUGUAACUGAGCAUUGUGUUCCUAUAAAAAAAAUUUUUUAAGACAACACUUAUCCAGUCAACUCAUGAAACUGGCUAUAAAGAUGUAGCCUAUAGGGUAUACAAGUCUCCAUGUUCAUAACUGGAAACUCACUGCAUCUUGGCAACAUAUCCCUCCUUAGCAACAAAAUGAAUACGUGCAUUCCCAGAUAUAGCCUUUAAAACAUAUAGUAUACAGUUUUGCUUUAUUGCUUUGCUGAAAAAAUGGAUUAUCUCUUAAAAGAUCAGGUUAAUCAAAACUACAUAUUUAGAAUUGCUCCAUUACACCACUGUGAGACUUACACUACCUCUCAGCAUUACGGUUACGCCGUAAUGUCCAUGGUUUUGAAAGAAAAGCAAAUUGUUCUAAUAUAACAAUUAAUAACUGAUGGAAUUAGAACUAUAAAUCCUUGAUUUAAUGAUUUUAUUGGAAUAUCUAUAAAAGCCUGUUUGUUCUGUUGACAUUUUAUGUUACCUGUUUUAUGUUUAUCCAAUGUAAAGGUUGAUUUAUCACUAAAAAGAAUUUUUCUCAUUUACGAUAACUCCACUGAGGACUGUCUGGACCUUGAGCCCCUGUGGAGUUGAUUAGAGUCUCACAAUCAAACUGAAAAAAUAAAUUUGGUCUUUUUCCAAGUGAAUGAAGAUUAUACCACACAAGAAAUUGUGCCCAAAAGAAAAUUCACACAAAGGAGUGUACUACUCUCUUUCCAACCACUACAAUCUGGCACUUUAAUGAAGCUGCCAGUUGAGGACCUGUGAGGUGUUCGUUUCUCAGACUAAAGACUCGGCUGCUCAGAUCUCCACUUCUCUUUUUUUUCAGGUUAGAAACCACGAUCCUGUUCUGUGUAGGAAGUAGUACACACCAGAGGUUUUAUGUCAGGGUCCCACAUGAAUAGCCUUCAUUUCUCACAUCAAGAAUAAUGACUGUUCUACAAAAAUGUGGGGUUUUUAAAACUACAGUGUAAGCACAGGGGCUGAAUUCUCACACACUCACUCACUAAAUGUGUCGUCGCUUGUAUUAGUGUGAGUGUAAUGUUUUCAGCAUUAUAAACUUGCAUUAGAUGAUGAAAGUGCCAUUAGUGUCACGAUUGCUGGAUAUGCCACCCACAUGUGCAUUAAAAAUCAUGAUUAAUAAUUCCAUUUAUCAGUUUUUGUUAUUUCUGAUCGAUUUAAUGUAAAAAGUAGUUUUCUUUUAAAAGCAAGACAUUUCUAAUUGACCCCAAACAUUUAAGCAUUAGUGCUUGACAGUGACUUUUAAAACGCAUUGAAAUAGGUGGUUCAGAUUCUUUUGUCUUUCUUAACACUAUCUGGUGACUGCAUUACCCACAGUAAACCCCAGCCAAACUGGCUCUUAACAGUAAAUGUCGCUUGUAACCAUUAUCCCACAGAGCUGAGGAGCUGGCUAAAGAGGAUUCAUUCUGUUCUCACCCCAAUGAAAUUUGCUCAUUUUUGAGUCAUUUAUCAGGCCCUCUGGUGAAAAGAUCAGUAGGGUUCCCCUUUAAAGAAGUUAUAUACAGCUUUUCUACAUUUUAAUAUGAAAACUGCUUACCGAAACUGUGUCAUCA